Molecule: ribosomal RNA, 590 nt
Filed under: Acanthamoeba genotype T4
Lineage: Eukaryota; Discosea; Longamoebia; Acanthamoebidae
Description: partial 18S ribosomal RNA
Rfam family: Eukaryotic small subunit ribosomal RNA (bases 1-353)
Source: RNAcentral
GGGCGGAAKUCRMYUUUCUGCCACCSAAUACAUUAGCAUGGGAUAAUGGAAUAGGACCCUGUCCUCCUWUUUUCAGUUGGUUUUGGCAGCGCGAGGACUAGGGUAAUGAUUAAUAGGGAUAGUUGGGGGCAUUAAUAUUUAAUUGUCAGAGGUGAAAUUCUUGGAUUUAUGAAAGAUUAACUUCUGCGAAAGCAUCUGCCAAGGAUGUUUUCAUUAAUCAAGAACGAAAGUUAGGGGAUCGAAGACGAUCAGAUACCGUCGUAGUCUUAACCAUAAACGAUGCCGACCAGCGAUUAGGAGACGUUGAAUACAAAACACCACCAUCGGCGCGGUCGUCCUUGGCGUUCGUGUUCACGCACGRGCGCGAGGGCGGYUUAGCCCGGUGGCACCGGUGAAUGACUCCCCUAGCAGCUUGUGARAWGGUCUCAUAAGYUGCUGGGGGAGUCCCUCCCCCGGUASAYGGUGGGAGGCWUCACACARGGUGSUGGGGGGGSAUCUCUCKCWAAAAAAUAGGGGGCCCCUCUCACGGUGURGGGGGGGGGUUCUCUCGUAGMAAAUUGUGGGGGCUWYUCUCARYGKURWGGGGGGGU